GUGAUAGUAGCUCAAUGGCGGAGUUCCUGAUUGUGGAUCAGGUGGUUGCGGGUUCGAGCCCCGUCUAUCACC
This 72-nucleotide transfer RNA is filed under the name Anaerolineae bacterium. Its description in RNAcentral is "tRNA-His". It matches the Rfam family "tRNA". From Rfam's summary of the family: Transfer RNA (tRNA) molecules are approximately 80 nucleotides in length. Their secondary structure includes four short double-helical elements and three loops (D, anti-codon, and T loops). The record is from RNAcentral. Lineage: Bacteria; Bacillati; Chloroflexota; Anaerolineae.